AAGUCGUAACAAGGUUUUUGUAGGUGAACCUGCAAAAGGAUCAUUAGUGAAUUGUGGGAGUCCCUCUUAACCGGAGAAGGCCCAUUACUACCAUUUUUAACCCUAGUGAAUUUGUCCCUUUUUUACUUUGCCCUUGUGCAUUAUUAAAAGUCAUUUGUAUUAUAAAUUAUGAAAGAAAAA
Molecule: unclassified non-coding RNA, 180 nt
Filed under: plant metagenome
Description: partial contains small subunit ribosomal RNA and internal transcribed spacer 1
Rfam family: Eukaryotic small subunit ribosomal RNA (bases 1-46)
Source: RNAcentral